GAUGAACGCUGGCGGCGUGCCUAAUACAUGCAAGUCGAGCGAACAGACGAGGAGCUUGCUCCUUUGACGUUAGCGGCGGACGGGUGAGUAACACGUGGGUAACCUACCUAUAAGACUGGGAUAACUUCGGGAAACCGGAGCUAAUACCGGAUAAUAUUUCGAACCGCAUGGUUCGAUAGUGAAAGAUGGCUCUGCUAUCA
RNAcentral lists this ribosomal RNA (200 nucleotides) under uncultured bacterium. RNAcentral describes it as "partial 16S ribosomal RNA". It matches the Rfam family "Bacterial small subunit ribosomal RNA", at positions 28 to 223 of the family's 1533-position model. The record is from RNAcentral.